This 428-nucleotide RNase P RNA is filed under the name Chloroflexota bacterium. RNAcentral's name for it is "Chloroflexi bacterium RNase P RNA component class A". It matches the Rfam family "Bacterial RNase P class A". From Rfam's summary of the family: Ribonuclease P (RNase P) is a ubiquitous endoribonuclease, found in archaea, bacteria and eukarya as well as chloroplasts and mitochondria. Its best characterised activity is the generation of mature 5'-ends of tRNAs by cleaving the 5'-leader elements of precursor-tRNAs. The record is from RNAcentral. Lineage: Bacteria; Bacillati; Chloroflexota.
CGGGCUGGCCGGGUGGCCGCCGCGGUCCGCCUCUGGCGGAUCGGGGAGGAAAGUCCGGGCUCCACCGGACAGGGUGCUGGGUAACGCCCAGGCGUCGGCUCGUCUUUGGCGGGUCGGUGACGGAAAGUGGCACAGAAACAUACCGCCGCAGUUUGUUCAGACGGAGUUCGUUCAAACGGAUUCGCUUCGGCGGACGGCGGCAAGGGUGAAAUCGGGCGGUAAGAGCGUCCGGCCGAGUGCGGCGACGCACCGGCGGCCAAACCCCACCUGGAGCAAGGCCAAAUAGAGGGACUAUGGGUGUCCGGCCCGUCCCCGGGUUGGCCGCUUGACCCCAUCGGCAACGCUGGGGCUAGAUAGAUGGUCACCGUCCGGCCUCCGUCUCACGGCGGAGAACGGAUACAGAACCCGGCUUACAGGCCGCCCGGCUU